This is a small nucleolar RNA of Artibeus jamaicensis (Jamaican fruit-eating bat), 129 nucleotides long. RefSeq annotates it as small nucleolar RNA SNORA30/SNORA37 family. NCBI's taxonomy places the organism in Eukaryota, Metazoa, Chordata, Mammalia, Chiroptera, Phyllostomidae. The transcript has a single exon. The record is from RefSeq and is a predicted model, not a curated record.
AUAGCACUUUCACAGGUCCUCCCCCAGGCAGUGGGGCCGGGAUUUGGUGGCAGGUGCUGAGAGGGGACCCUGGGGUGCGCCCUUGCCCUGGGACUGUGCCAGUGGCAGCUGUCACUCCGUGGCGCAGAG